CGCUGUGCUCCCUGGGGCCAGGCACCUCUCGUCUCUGGGCCUCAGUUUCCUCAUAAUGGGCACAGACAUCCCCGAGUCACGGUCUGGUCGUGCACAGCGAGGGCUGAAGAUGGGCAGUGCCCCUUUGGACAAGGAGAUGAAGGGAGGGGUGAGGCAUCCUGAGAAUUCCUAGUGGGAGCGUUGGGCUGGGUUGGACAGAAGUCUGUGAGAGGAGACCGGAGGGCCCGAGGCACGAGGCAGGAGCAUGGAGCAGAGGCAGGGAGAGCCCUAGACGCCUUUGACCCCCACUCUGCACUCAAACCAGGUCAAGGGACCCAGGAACUGGGCUCCACUGUGCAGUCACUGGACCUACUCAGCCACUGCGUGAGCCAUGGCGAGUCUUCCUGGAGCAUCCACCCAGGCAGAGACUUAGGGGGAGAAACUUUAGAAAAAAUGGGGAGGAGUAAAGCCGAUAUAUGAAAAAGAAGGACGCAAAUCUGUAUGAAUUUUUAAGAUAAAAUAAGGAACUUCAGAAACAUUUCGGCUAGUUUUGGGGCCACUACGAGCCAUGCCCUCAGAUGCCUAGCAGACCUUCCUCCAGCUCCUCAGCCAUUGGGGUUCACUGGAGGAGACUCAGGAUGCCUCUACUUGAAGCUCUCUGGAGACGGUGCGCUCACUCCCUUACUCCAUCCGUCUCUGCUCUCACUACACGCUGUCUCCAGGACAGCUGCUAGCCUGGAGCUCGGGGCUCUCAGGAGACAGUGGCAGGGCUUCAGAUCCCUGAGUCUCUGAGAUCACGCUGUUUCACUCACAACCUUGCAGAUAAGAUAAGAAAGUGGCAGUCACUGUUGGAGUCCAGGCUGCAGAGCCACACAGACCCAACAGCGUGCAGUGUGUAAACAUGGGCAAGUGGUCUCACCUCUCUGAGCCUCAGUUUCCCCAUCUGGAGAAUGCCCACCUUGAAAAUUUGCAAAGAGAGACAAAGGUCGUCAUGGAAUGGGGCUUCACGGUGUUCGUGUGGCCCGCGUCACACAGCAGCGGCCACUUCCAUCUCCUCCCAGAAGCCCUGCUUCCUCCCUCCUCUCCCAUUCUCCUGCGUGAGUGAGGGUGAGAACCUCUGCUCCCUGUUCUUCUCUGCCCCUGGCCUCGCUCUGACCUGUCCCAAUCCGGGAGACUGCUGGAGCUGUGGUUCCCAUCCCUCCCCGGGAUAGAGACCUUGGAGGCGCAAACUCCUGCUCUGGCAGGACACCUCCCUUCUGCUUGAACACCUCCUACUCUCACAAGAUAUCUCCUUUCAAGCUCAGACAGCCACAGCUGUUUUAACAACUGGUGCCAUUCACCAGGCACUUUAUAUACACAACGUCUUGUGAUCCUCACAGCUGCAGGUAGUCUUAGCUCCAUUUCACAGGUGAGGAUACUGAGGCUCAGAAGGGAGCAGUGUCUGUAAGUUCAGCUGGCAAGAAAGGUGAAGCUCUGAGAUGAGAAUUCGGGUCUGGCCACCAAUCCAGGGGGUAUCCUCUUCAAGUCAGAAGGCAAAGCAGCACCACUUUGUUUGGAAGAAGACUUCGAGCCUUUUGGGGUGUCACUGCUGCCCAGGCCCGCGGUCAUGGCUUAUCCCCAGUUCCCCUGCUUUUCCCCAUCACCAGAGUCUCCUGCUUCUCCUGGUCUAGGUCGUUGGAUGUCGAAGUUGGAAAAAUUCCAGCUUUGGGAAUUUUGAGAUGAUAAAAUUCAGCUGGGUGAGCAGCCCUCUGAAUCGAAGGCUCCCCUUGGCUCCCUCCUCUGCCUGGCACACCUAGCAGUGGCACUUAACUCCCUGCGGAGAGAGACCCAAGGGGGCAGCAUUCUCUGGUGGUUAGAAACAGGGUGUUGGUGCCAGACGUCAUGGGUUUAAAUCUCAACUCUGAAUCUGAGAGAUUUGUAUUUGUGACUUUGUCACCUUUUCUUUAAGGGGGCCCUAGGGUAAGUGACUUCACCCUAAAAUGGAAAGAAAAAGGCCUCUCCUGGCCUGGAGGCUUCACAGAAGGGAAAUUGGUUUCUAAGCGUUCGUCCCUUCUUCACGCAUGGUCUCAUUUAAGCAUCAUGACAGCUGACAAGUAGGUACUAUUAUUACUCCCAUUUUAUAAAUGAAAAAACCGAGGUGAAGGAGUCUUCUAAAGGUCACAUGGCCUUACAGGGGCUUGAACUCCAGCCCCAUGUACCUCCAAGUCAGACGCACUUACAUUGCCCCAGAGAGGUGCCCCUUCCUUUUCUCCUAGGAAUUAGUCCCUACCACCCCAGCCCACAGGGUUAGAGGUCCUAAUCAGGACUAGAUGGGACUGGGAGGUUUGGCCCUGCCCAGCUAUGGUGCAGCCCCCAAAUGCCAGACUGUCCUUGCUCUUGGGUUGGGCUCACAGCUGCCUGGACAUGCAAGGGGUGGGGACCAGCGCAGCAGGGCCUCCUCCAGGCAGUUCCCCGCGCCGUGCUAGGCCACCCUAUCUCCUGUAGCUAUGGUGGUGUCUGCCCUCUCCUGUAAGUGGGGUGUAAGCCUUUUCAGGGGCCUGCAGAGUGGGGCCAGAAAACCAAGAAGCUAGACUUGAGCGUCUCACUUGCCUGCGUCCCUUCCAAGGCCCUGGAAGACGGGCGUCAGCAAAUUUGUAUUUGUGACUUCGUCAUCUUUUCUUUAAGGGGGCCUCAAUAUUAUAUAAGCAUCAGGCUUCACAAAACCUAGCUCUGUCCCCAGGUCGGGGGCAGUGGAAAGAGUUUCGCAGUCCACCCCACUUGCUCUGUGCUGGCUGACUUUCGGCGAGUCCCCCCACUUUCCCAUCUAUACAGUGGUGAUGAAGCCUGGAGAGUCACAGGGUUACGGCGGGGGGCAAUGAGGAGCUUGGGGUAGCCACCCUUUAUCAAAUGCCCAAAGCCACAGAGGCCCUUCACCAGCCGGCGCUAGUUCCACCUUAGGCAACCCUGUAGGGUAACUGGAGGCUCCCACCCCUAUUUUCCAGGUGAGAUAACUGAGGUUUGGAACUGAAUGAGCACGCUGGAGCCCAUCCCCCACUGCUUCCUGAGUUCUCAGCCGGGGCUGCAGCGCCCUAAGCUGAGAGCUGGGGACGCCAGACAGACCUCGGCUCCGGUAGUAGGAGACAGGGGGUGCGGGGGCGGGCUCCUCGGAGGCCGUGGGAGGAGGCAGCGUCCCGCACCGUCUCACCGCAGGGCCGACCUCGGCCCUUAUCUGCUCCGGCAGCUUCCGCCCCCGACCCGAGCCCCGCCGCAGGCCUGGCCCCCGCCCCCGCCUCCGGAGGGCCCGCCCAGAGCGCCCCUCCCCCACGGCCGCUGCCCCCAGGGAGCGCCGACUGCCGCGCGCUGUGUGUGCCCAGCGGAGCAGAGAGGGGCCCGGCCCCCAGGCCCAAUGCCUUGGGCGUCUUUGGCGUCCUACAGGUGUAGGAGGGAAGAGAGAAGUGGAGACACCUUAGAGAAAGUGAAAAGCAAGCCACAAACUGGAGGAGACGUCUGCCGCGGACGACCCAAAGGAUAAGCAUCGACAAUACAAAGGGAAACACAUUUGUUCGAUGCACAUCUAAGGGAUGCUCAAGCUCGUUGGUGAUGAGAGAAAUGCAAAUGAAGACCUCAAUGAGAUGCUAUUUACACCAUUCUAAGAGCAAAAAUUAACAAGCUUGACAGCACCAAGUGUUGGAGAAGAGGUGGAGCCACGGACUCUCCAGCGUGUUACCAGAAUGCAACCGAUGUAACUGCGGGCUGGUGGCAGGGAUGACAGCACACGCAAUCACCCUUAUCUUAUAAAGCUCCGGCCGGGCAUAUCCCCUCUCGGCAUAACAUCAAGAGAAACUUUGGCAUGUGCUCCAAAAGACUUGGACGAGAACGUUCAAAGCUGCACUGUUCUUAACAGCAAAAAUCUGGAAACAACUCAAAUGCCCAUGGAAAAGAGAAUGGGUAAAUAAAUUACAGUAGAUUCAUUCACACGGCGGCACGUCAUUCAGCGGUGCAAGCGAAUGAACCAGUUUCACACGAUAUCAUGAAUGAAUCUUAGUACCAUAUUGUUGAAUGAAAAAGCCAGUCCCAGAAAAUAAAUACCUUUCCUGCAACGUGUGAAAGCCAAACCAUAUCUCUACAAAUAAUACUUUUGUUAUUAGGUGAUGUUAGGAUUACCCACCCAAAAGAGUCAAAAGUAUACUCAAGACUCAGGAGUAACACUGAGAAGUUACGACCAGUAAGAAAAUGUAGUUGGCGCUUGUGUACUGUCAACAGGUCGUUCAAAAUGUAAUGGGAAAUAUCCUGUUCAACAUAGCUGCAAAAAUGUAAAAUUCCUGGAAGUAAACUUUUUAACACCUAUGAAGGACCUAUAGGAAAACAAUUAUAAAGAUCACUGAGUAAUAUAAAAGAAAACCUUAAAACAGCUUUUUCCCUUAUUAAAAGCCAAAUCAGAAUAUUGUUUAGACAUAUAAAUGUAUGUAUGUGAAAACUUUAUUUUAAAAAAAGGACUGAUCAAAAAAUUCAAGUUCCCCCAAGAAGGAGGCAGGGCGAUGGGAUGGGGCAGGGUAACAAGUAAGUGGAUAUAUCGGUGAACACACAAAUGAAAUAAAAGAGGGCCCUGCAAAGGCUCAAAUGACAAUGCCUAACGCACAGGAUUUCACCCCAAUUUGCGCUCCUGAGGUUGGAGUGAAGAAAGGGAGACAUUAAACUUAUUCAGACAGACUUUUAUUCAGGGUACAAACAAGCUUGUCUUUCUUUCCAGAAACCCAAAGUGAGUGGCAGGUGGGGGUGGGGAGGCCUGUGUAUACGUAGGACAAGACUAAGCACCCAGAAGACACACAACACUAGGGGCUCCCAGGCUGGACAGAUCCAGAAGGCUUCAGGGAGGAGGCGGCCUUGUAAACAGACUGGAUUUCGAUCCACAGAGAUGGUGGAAGGGAAAGAACAGGCCAGGCCUGCCAGGGGUGGGCUGGAGGUUACAAAGCGGGUCAGAAAGGCAGAGAGGCCAGACAAAAAAUAAUGAAGCAUGGCUGUACACGGGCUGCCCAUGGAAGAGUUGCUGGGUGGUGAGGGAAGAGGCCCUGUGGAGUUAUGGGACAUUAUCUGGCCAGGCCUCAGGAUUCGGAGAAGAAAGCACCCAGCAACUCACAGAGGAGCUAAGGCUGCUCUGGAAAGAACAACAUGAGAGAGGGUUAGGGUCAGGGGUUCCAGCAGGCCAGGUCUUCUGGAGGAGAAGCAGGCCUUGGCUGAGCACAAGGCUCUGCCUCUUUUCAUCUGUGACCUGUGUGACCUGAGCCUCAGAUGCCUUUCUACAAGAGAUUGCUACCUGCCUGCACAGACCCCCACAGAAAGCCCUCAAAAGAAGGCCACGCCCCAGAAGCAGAACCUCUAGCCCUGUACUGCCAGAAGUGGAGGAAAGUUGGCAGAGCAUCGGCAAUGCCAGUCAAUGCCAGGCCAUGCUGGCCUCUCAGGCACCACCUGGUCAGCGGGCCCGGGCAGUCCUAUGUUCCGAAAAUAAAAGGCUGAGACCGUGUUGCUAAUAAAGGCCCCAGUAAAGGUACCAGAAGCAGGAACAACGUAUUGAAGUCAGACCCUGGGCAACCCAGUGGAGUCAGAGAAAUGGGUCUGCAGUGCCCCAGCCACUCAGAGCCAAGCAGUGUCCAGGCCCAUCCUCCCCUGUUGAAGUGCAUCUGUCCCUGAGGCCUCCAAACUGACUGAUGGAUGUUGGAAAACACUCAACUGUGCUCAGCAAGGAGAGGAGAAAGGGUGGCCCCCUACCCUAUGUCAUUAAUUUAUCUGUUCUUUUCAUUGAUGUAACAUUUUCUUUAUACUAAUGUAUCUACACAUGUAAAUAAUAAUAUCUAACCCUUAAAUAGACCUUCCCAAAUGCCAGACAUAGUCCUAAGUGCCUUUAUGUAUAUUCAUUCAUUUAAUCUUCACAACAAUCCAAUACAGUAAUCCAUUUUAGAGAUGAGGAAACGGUCAUAGGGAGUUAUAUAAUUUGUCCGAAGAAGUCUAAUACCAGAAUCUGGUUUGUCUUAACCAUCAAGCUAGGAGGCCAUUACAUAUAUAUCCAUAUGCGUUAUUCAUGCGCUGCAGAAUAACGUUUUGGUCAACGAGGGACUGCAUACUCGAUGGUGGUAUACCAUGUAACUUAGGCAUAUAUAGUAGGCUAUGCCCUCCAGGUUUGUGUAAGUGCACUCUAUGAUGUUCAAAUGACAAAACCACCUAAUGACACGUUUCUUAGAACAUAUCUCCAUCUUUAAGUGGUGCAUGACUGUGUGUAUGUAUGUAUAUACAUAUGAGAUUUUAUCUCAUUUUUACAGAAUUGCAUAAAUGUGAUCAUAUAUAUGUUUUAACAUUUUCCUUUUAUACUUUCCCUCCUCCCACCACGGAAUCCAUUUUAUCACCCUAAUAUGUGAUCUUCUAUAUUUUUAUUUACCCACAUUUAUACAUGGACUUACAUAUACUGAUACCUCUAAUCGCAUGCACAUAUACAAGGUUCCUUUUUUGUCAUUGUUUUAAAAUAGUGGUUUAUAGUAAAUAAAUAUUUCUGCAUCUCUCAUGUCUCAUCUAUACCUGGAAAUUCCUGGGAGAUCUAAUUCACUGUUUUUAAUAGCCACACAUUCGUCCACCCACUGUGCCUUUCCAACUGGCUCUCCUGCUCUUGGUCAGUAAGAAUGCUCAUGGUCCCAUUCCCACCCCCAAAGCACUUGUUUCUUUAAUCCAUUUGAGAGUCUGAUGUUGGAAAUUCCAGGCCAGGUGAAAGGAAAGGCCAGUGAGAAGGUAGCAAGUGGCAUUUCUGGCUGAGUCUUGCCCACCCCCGGCUGGUGGCCCACAGCCCUCAGCCUCCAGAGACAGGAAUGCUGACUGUGUUAUUGUGAAAUCAUUUGUAUAUUGUGAAGUGCUUUGCAUAUGAUAGAGUGAUUUGCAUACAGGGCAGGGGGCAUCUUAGAGAUCCCGGAGCAGCAUUCCUGAGUGUCUUCCUCCCUUUGCAAAGAAACCAACCCAGGGCUUCCACUUCAGAACUCAGGGAGGGGCAUAUGAGGGCAUCCUGGCAGACCUACCGGACCGGUGGGGUGAGGUGACAGGGGCUUUCAGAGGAAAGCUGAUCCCACCUGGAAGGAGCUGGGGGGUCUAAGAAGGGCAAACAUUGGAAUGUGAAGUGGAACAGGCAAUCGGGUGCAGCAUAUGAGAGCCAAAUGAGUCCUCAGAGCCCCUACGAGAGAACAACUCAGGACAGAUGAAGGGAGCUGUCAUGGGAGGCAGAUGAAUGUCAGAAGCUUGGAGAACAACUCAUCACUCUUUCUGCCCAAGCGAGUACCCACAGGCCCCUUCCUGAAUAUUCUACAGUUCCAGUUAU
Long non-coding RNA from Pteropus alecto (black flying fox), 7309 nucleotides. RefSeq lists it as uncharacterized. The transcript is spliced from 3 exons. Lineage: Eukaryota; Metazoa; Chordata; Mammalia; Chiroptera; Pteropodidae. The record is from RefSeq and is a predicted model, not a curated record.